This 337-nucleotide unclassified non-coding RNA is filed under the name soil metagenome. RNAcentral describes it as "partial contains 5.8S ribosomal RNA, internal transcribed spacer 2, and large subunit ribosomal RNA". The stretch from base 1 to 120 matches the Rfam family "5.8S ribosomal RNA", at positions 35 to 154 of the family's 154-position model. The record is from RNAcentral.
GAUGAAGAACGUAGUGAAAUGCGAUAAGUAGUGUGAAUUGCAGAAUUCAGUGAAUCAUCGAAUCUUUGAACGCACAUUGCGCCCCAUGGUAUUCCGUGGGGCAUGCCUGUUCGAGCGUCAUUUACCCCCUCAAGCUCCGCUUGGUGUUGGGCGUCUGUCCCGCUUCGCGCACGGACUCGCCCCAAAGGUAUUGGCAGCGGUCGUGCCAGCUUCUCGCGCAGCACAUUGCGCUUCUCGAGGCACCGGUGGGCCCGCGUCCAUCAAGCUCACCCCCCCAGUUUGACCUCGGAUCAGGUAGGGAUACCCGCUGAACUUAAGCAUAUCAAUAAGCGGAGGA